RNAcentral lists this ribosomal RNA (406 nucleotides) under uncultured bacterium. RNAcentral's name for it is "partial 16S ribosomal RNA". It matches the Rfam family "Bacterial small subunit ribosomal RNA", at positions 30 to 526 of the family's 1533-position model. The record is from RNAcentral.
AUUGAACGCUGGCGGCAGGCCUAACACAUGCAAGUCGAACGAGGGGCGGACGGGUGAGUUAUGUCUGGGAAACUGCCCGAUGGAGGGGGAUCACUACUGGAAACGGUAGCAAACCCCGCAUACCCUCGGAUGCGCCCAGAUGGGAUUCGCUAGUAGGUGGGGUAACGGCUCACCUGGGCGACGAUCCCUAGCUGGUCUGAGAGGAUGACCAGCCACACUGGAACUGAGACACGGUCCAGACUCCUACGGGAGGCAGCAGUGGGGAAUAUUGCACAAUGGGCGCAAGCCUGAUGCAGCCAUGCCGCGUGUAUGAAGAAGGCCUUCGGGUUGUAAAGUACUUUCAGCGAGGAGGCGUUACUCGCAGAAGAAGCACCGGCUAACUCCGUGCCAGCAGCCGCGGUAAUUC